CGUUGAAACACAGAUUCUCGUACGAUCACUGUAGUUAAGCAACGUCGGGCCUAGACAGUACCUAGAUGGGUGAUUGGUUGGAAAUACUAGGUGCUGUAAG
Molecule: non-coding RNA, 100 nt
Organism: Acanthosepion pharaonis
Lineage: Eukaryota; Metazoa; Mollusca; Cephalopoda; Sepiida; Sepiidae
Source: the annotation of a GenBank genome assembly